CUUUUUCUGUUUUGUGCUUUAUGGUAAUAUGCUUUAUAAAUAUUCCAAACUUUCUUAGAGAUUGGCUGUUGGAGAACUCACUGGAAAUGGUCUAACAUUAGAAGAAUGGCUACCUUCAACAUGGAUCACAGACACUCUUCCCCGAAGAUGUCCAUUUGUGCCCCAGAUGGGGGAUGAGGUUUAUUAUUUCCGACAAGGACAUGAAGCAUAUGUUGAAAUGGCCCGGAAAAAUAAAAUUUAUAGUAUUAAUCCUAAAAAACAACCAUGGCAUAAAAUGGAAUUACGGGAACAAGAACUGAUGAAAAUAGUUGGCAUAAAAUAUGAAGUGGGAUUACCUACCCUUUGUUGCCUUAAACUUGCUUUUUUAGAUCCUGAUACUGGUAAACUGACUGGUGGAUCAUUUACUAUGAAGUACCAUGAUAUGCCUGAUGUUAUAGAUUUCCUAGUCCUGAGACAACAAUUUGAUGAUGCAAAAUACAGGCGGUGGAAUAUAGGUGAGUGAAAAUACUUUAAACUAUUUCUCUCACAGUUGAUAACUAUUUGUUAUAAAGCCACAAAAUUAU
RNAcentral lists this long non-coding RNA (563 nucleotides) under Cavia porcellus (domestic guinea pig). RNAcentral's name for it is "lncRNA (ENSCPOG00000036096.1)". The record is from RNAcentral. Lineage: Eukaryota; Metazoa; Chordata; Mammalia; Rodentia; Caviidae.